CUAACCCAGAACAUGAUUGAUGGUAUGGGCAUCACUGGAUAUGAAGGCAUCUUCUUACGGGUGUGCGAAAUCACACUUUCAGUACUGAGGGCUCACAGAGAGACUUUGAUGAGUGUUCUUGAAACUUUUAUUCAUGAUCCGCUUGUGGAGUGGACAAAAUCUCAUAAAUCCAGUGGGGUGGAAGUUCAAAACCCACAUGCACAGCGAGCCAUUAAUAAUAUUGAAGCAAGGUUGCAAGGAGUAGUUGUUGGUGUUGGAGCAGCACCCUCUUUACCUCUAGCUGUGGAAGGUCAAGCUCGCCGCUUAAUUGCUGAAGCUGUGUCACACAAGAAUCUUGGAAAGAUGUAUAUAUGGUGGAUGCCGUGGUUUUAGAAGUUCUUACAGGAACAAUUUAGGUCAGGUAAGGUGUGUCAUUUUCUUUGACUCGCCUAGUUUUGAAGGGAUCUGUAUCUGCCUUGCCAUUUUUGUUAUAUAUAUGAUCACGAAACUUUGCC
This 494-nucleotide unclassified non-coding RNA is filed under the name Hevea brasiliensis (rubber tree). Lineage: Eukaryota; Viridiplantae; Streptophyta; Magnoliopsida; Malpighiales; Euphorbiaceae. The record is from RNAcentral.